This 253-nucleotide ribosomal RNA is filed under the name uncultured bacterium. RNAcentral's name for it is "partial 16S ribosomal RNA". It matches the Rfam family "Bacterial small subunit ribosomal RNA", at positions 524 to 776 of the family's 1533-position model. The record is from RNAcentral.
UACGUAGGGGGCAAGCGUUGUCCGGAAUCAUUGGGCGUAAAGAGCGCGUAGGCGGCCCGAUAAGUCGGAUGUGAAAACUCUGGGCUCAACCCAGAGCCUGCAUCCGAAACUGGCGGGCUAGAGUUCUGGAGGGGGUAGCGGAAUUCCUGGUGUAGCGGUGAAAUGCGCAGAUAUCAGGAGGAACACCAAUGGCGAAGGCAGCUCGCUGGGACGGUACUGACGCUGAGACGCGAAAGCGUGGGGAGCAAACAGG